GGCUCAGGAUGAACGCUAGCUACAGGCUUAACACAUGCAAGUCGAGGGGCAGCAUGUCGGUUGCUUGCAACCGAUGAUGGCGACCGGCGCACGGGUGAGUAACGCGUAUCCAACCUACCCUUGUCCAUCGGAUAACCCGUCGAAAGGCGGCCUAACACGAUAUGCGGUUCUCAGCAGGCAUCUAACGAGAACGAAAUGUGAAGGAGAAGGAUGGGGGAUGCGUCUGAUUAGCUUGUUGGCGGGGUAACGGCCCACCAAGGCGACGAUCAGUAGGGGUUCUGAGAGGAAGGUCCCCCACAUUGGAACUGAGACACGGUCCAAACUCCUACGGGAGGCAGCAGUGAGGAAUAUUGGUCAAUGGACGGGAGUCUGAACCAGCCAAGUAGCGUGCAGGAUGACGGCCCUAUGGGUUGUAAACUGCUUUUAUAGGGGGAUAAAGUGUGCCACGUGUGGCAUAUUGCAGGUACCCUAUGAAUAAGGACCGGCUAAUUCCGUG
This 496-nucleotide ribosomal RNA is filed under the name uncultured bacterium. RNAcentral's name for it is "bacterial SSU rRNA". It matches the Rfam family "Bacterial small subunit ribosomal RNA", at positions 21 to 507 of the family's 1533-position model. The record is from RNAcentral.